GAUUAUAAAAUGACAAAUACAAAUGUUGGUGUCUUAAAUAUAUCAUUGUUGUUGAAUAGUUAACAUAUUACAUCUCAUUUUAAUUAUUUUUAAGACUUCAUAUGCACAAAAAGAAAUUAAGUUUUGCGGCUGACACAAAUCAUCAAAUCCAAAUAAACAACAUCGAUUGUAUAAUGACGAAAGGGGAUUAGGUUUUCUGCUCUCGAUUUGUUUAUUAUUGACUCUC
This 226-nucleotide long non-coding RNA is filed under the name Brassica napus (rape). RNAcentral describes it as "long non-coding RNA (BNAP_LNC026445)". Lineage: Eukaryota; Viridiplantae; Streptophyta; Magnoliopsida; Brassicales; Brassicaceae. The record is from RNAcentral.